GACGAACGCUGGCGGCGUGCCUAAUACAUGCAAGUCGAACGAGAGCGACCGGUGCUUGCACUGGUCAAUCUAGUGGCGAACGGGUGAGUAACACGUGGGUAAUCUGCCCAUCAGAGGGGGAUAACAUCCGGAAACGGAUGCUAAAACCGCAUAGGUCUUCGAGCCGCAUGGCUUGAAGAGGAAAAGAGGCGCAAGCUUCUGCUGAUGGAUGGACCCGCGGUGCAUUAGCUAGUUGGUGAGGUAACGGCUCACCAAGGCCGUGAUGCAUAGCCGACCUGAGAGGGUGAUCGGCCACAUUGGGACUGAGACACGGCCCAAACUCCUACGGGAGGCAGCAGUAGGGAAUCUUCCGCAAUGGACGCAAGUCUGACGGAGCAACGCCGCGUGAGUGAAGAAGGUUUUCGGAUCGUAAAACUCUGUUGUUAGAGAAGAACAAGUGCUAGAGUAACUGUUAGCGCCUUGACGGUAUCUAACCAGAAAGCCACGGCUAACUACGUG
This 498-nucleotide ribosomal RNA is filed under the name uncultured bacterium. RNAcentral's name for it is "partial 16S ribosomal RNA". It matches the Rfam family "Bacterial small subunit ribosomal RNA", at positions 28 to 507 of the family's 1533-position model. The record is from RNAcentral.